This is an RNA transcript of Octodon degus (degu), 658 nucleotides long. It is a transcript of the gene named protein FAM98A pseudogene, with no coding region annotated. NCBI's taxonomy places the organism in Eukaryota, Metazoa, Chordata, Mammalia, Rodentia, Octodontidae. The record is from RefSeq and is a predicted model, not a curated record. The transcript has a single exon.
UAGGAAUGUCCAAACCUCCAGCCAAUAUAACUAUGUUCCAAUUCUUCAGCGGGAUUGAAAAAAAAUUAAAGGAAACAUUAGCGAAAGUACUACCCAAUCAUGUGGGAAAGCCUUUACUGAAGAAGUCAAUGGGACCAGCCCACUGGGAAAAGAUAGAAGCAAUUAACCAAGCCAUAGUCAAUGAAUAUGAAGUCCAGAGAAAGCUGCUAAUAAAACAUUUGGAUGUCACUGUACAGUCCUUCGGUUGGUCUGACAGAGCUAAGAGUCAGACAGAAAAGUUAGCCAAGGCCUACCAGCCGAGGCGCUCAGUCUUAUCUCCCAAAAGUACUGUUUCUGUUGCUCAUCUCUUGGCUGCAAGACAAGACUUAUCAAAGAUCUUGAGGACAGGCAGCGGUUCUAUAAGAGAGAAGACAGCCUGUGCCAUCAAUAAGGUGUUGAUGGGCAGGGUGCCCGAAAGAGGCAGUAGACUUAAUGAAAUCGAACCUCCACCCCCAGAGAUGCUGCCAUGGCAGAAAAGGCAAGAUGGGCCCCAGCAGCAAGCAGGAGGCCGAGGAGGAGGGAGAGGUGGCUAUGAACAUUCCUCAUAUGGAGGACAAGGAGGUCAUGAACAAGAAGGAGGGAGAGGCGGAUGUGGUGGCUACGAUCAUGGUGGCUGAGG